GUGGGGAAUCUUGCGCAAUGGGCGAAAGCCUGACGCAGCAACGCCGCGUGGGGGAUGAAGGCUUUCGGGUUGUAAACCCCUUUCAGCAGGGACGAUUAUGACGGUACCUGCAGAAGAAGGACCGGCCAACUACGUGCCAGCAGCCGCGGUAAUACGUAGGGUCCAAGCGUUGUCCGGAUUUAUUGGGCGUAAAGAGCUCGUAGGUGGUUCGCUAAGUCGGAUGUGAAAACUCGGGGCUCAACCCCGAGACGCCAUCCGAUACUGGCGUGACUUGAGUCUGGUAGGGGAGAUCGGAAUUCCUGGUGUAGCGGUGAAAUGCGCAGAUAUCAGGAGGAACACCGGUGGCGAAGGCGGAUCUCUGGGCCAGUACUGACACUGAGGAGCGAAAGCGUGGGUAGCAAACAGGAUUAGAAACCCGUGUAGUCC
Molecule: ribosomal RNA, 426 nt
Filed under: uncultured bacterium
Lineage: Bacteria
Description: bacterial SSU rRNA
Rfam family: Bacterial small subunit ribosomal RNA
Source: RNAcentral